CUAUAAUGCAGUCGAGCGCUGGAAGCUCAUUCUCGAUCCCUUCGGGAUGAAGUAUGAGUGGAACGAGCGGCGGACGGGUGAGUAACACGUGGGCAACCUACCUAUAAGACUGGGAUAACUCGCGGAAACGUGAGCUAAUACCGGAUAAUACUUUUUAUUGCAUAAUAAGAAGUUUGAAAGGCGGCGUAAGCUGUCACUUAUAGAUGGGCCCGCGGCGCAUUAGCUAGUUGGUGAGGUAAAGGCUCACCAAGGCAACGAUGCGUAGCCGACCUGAGAGGGUGAUCGGCCACACUGGGACUGAGACACGGCCCAGACUCCUACGGGAGGCAGCAGUAGGGAAUCUUCCGCAAUGGACGAAAGUCUGACGGAGCAACGCCGCGUGAGUGAAGAAGGUUUUCGGAUCGUAAAACUCUGUUGUUAGGGAAGAACAAGUCAGGUAGUAACUGACCUGACCUUGACGGUACCUAACCAGAAAGCCACGGCUAACUACGUGCCAGCAGCCGCGGUAAUACGUAGGUGGCAAGCGUUGUCCGGAUUUAUUGGGCGUAAAGCGCUCGCAGGCGGUCUUUUAAGUCUGAUGUGAAAGCCCACGGCUUAACCGUGGAGGGUCAUUGGAAACUGGAGGACUUGAGUGCAGAAGAGGAGAGUGGAAUUCCAUGUGUAGCGGUGAAAUGCGUGAGAUAUGGAGGAACACCAGUGGCGAAGGCGACUCUCUGGUCUGUAACUGACGCUGAUGAG
RNAcentral lists this ribosomal RNA (738 nucleotides) under Oceanobacillus sp. Its description in RNAcentral is "bacterial SSU rRNA". It matches the Rfam family "Bacterial small subunit ribosomal RNA", at positions 51 to 753 of the family's 1533-position model. The record is from RNAcentral. Lineage: Bacteria; Bacillati; Bacillota; Bacilli; Caryophanales; Bacillaceae.